RNAcentral lists this long non-coding RNA (3519 nucleotides) under Marmota monax (woodchuck). The record is from RNAcentral. Lineage: Eukaryota; Metazoa; Chordata; Mammalia; Rodentia; Sciuridae.
GUAAAAUCAGCUUUCUGAAUCAUUGUAGUAGUUCUAAUCAUUGCAGAUAUCUUCUUUAUUUUUAUUGCCUUUUUUCAUUGGGCUGGGACUUCCGAUACAAAGUUGGGAAAAAGGGAACAUGGGAAUGCUCUGUCGGCUCAUCAGUAAGUGUCAGGCCUACCAUGGUUUUCAGAGAUGCACUUUAGUAAAGUAAGGAAGUUUCCUUCUAUUCCUAAAAAUUUUUACAAGUAUUUCAUUCAUUCUUCAAACCACUCUAAUCUAGAUCCCUGGUGAGUUUUGCUGCCACCAUUUCAUCCAGGUCACUGGUCACCUUCAUCUUGCCCAAUCUAGUGAAGACUCCUCUGAAUUCAUCCUUUUGGAUUUCAUCAAAGCAUGUGAUACAGCCGCCCUCUCCCACUCCUGGAAUCCACUUCUCUAGACUUCUCUCUGGCCCCUCCUUUUGGUCAUCUCUGGCAACUCUCCUCUACUGGACUCCUUAUGAGAGUCUCCCAGGGUUGGUGCUCAGGUUCAAGAUUUCUUCCAUAUUCCCACAACUCUAAAUCCCAUCACACUUACAUGCCAGCACUGGUCCCUCCUCCAGCUCCAGACUCCUACCUCUUCCUGCCCUCUUGAUUUUCUUCCCCAGCAUCUUCAUCUUAAGUGUCUCCAAGCAGUAACUUUAUCAGACCAUACCAAGCCAACUCUUCAAGUUCCCUUCUUCUCAGUUUCAGUCACUGGAGUCAGAAAUGGGGGCACUUCCCUUGAUUUCACCCUCUCCCUCACCCAUCAGCAAGUUUUAUCAAAUCUUCUUCCAGGAUACAUCUCAAAUCUAUUUUUUUUCCUCCCCCCAACUAUAGUCCAGGCCUCCAGAGCCUCUUGCCUAGUAAAGGCCCCUGCCUCCAUUCUUGCCCUCUUCAGUCAUUCUCCAAGAAGCCACCAGGGCAUCUUUUGAAAACACCUUCUAGUUUAACACCCGCACCCCCACCUCCUGCCAGUUUAAAACUCUGAAACAGGUUUCUGUGACACUCAGAAUAAAAUCCAGACUCCUGCCUACAGGGCUGGUGUGUAGCUGCCCUCAGUCCCUGAGGUGGUCUGGCGCCCACUUCUCUCUAACCUGAGAUCAGAACUCCUCUGCUCCCUGUGCUACAGACAUGCGGCCUUUCUUUGCUCUGCUUGUAUGCUGUGCUCUUCCACACUCUAGGGCUUUGGCAGAUUUUCUUUUCUUUGCCUGAAAUAUUCCUUCCUCUGCCCUGCCAGGCCAGGGUCCUGCGCAUCCUUCAAUUCUCAAACAUUCUCAGGUUCUCUGUUCACCCGAAUCCUCUCCCCAUUACUCUACAUGGUAGUACCCUGACCUUUAUGGAGUUUCUCUUCACUUAGUUUUUGAGUUUGUAUUCACUUAGUAAACUGUUCAACACCUAGACUGUAUGCUCUUGUGAGGACAAAACUUUCAUGUGCCUACCACAGUGCUGCCACCUGGAAACUGCCCAGUGACAUCCAGGAAGAAGGUGGGCAAGUGAGUGAUGUUUGAAGAUAUUAUAGCAUAAAGAAAAUUGCUGAAGCUGGGCACAGUGGCGCAUACCUAUAAUCCCAGCCACUCAGGAGGCUGAGACAGGAGGAUCACAAGUUCAAAACCAGCCUCAGCAAUGGUGAGACGCUAAGCAACUAGGAGACCCUGUCUCUAAAUAAAAUACAAAAUAGGGCUGGGGAUGUGGCCCAGUGGUUGAGUACCCCUGAGUUCAAUCCCCGGUACCCAAAGAUAAAAAAGAAAAUUGCUCAAAAUCAUAUAGAAAUUGAACACAUAGCUACUCUCACACAACUGACCCUCGUUUAUCUCCACAGAUUGUCAUAGAAGCAUGUGUUCAUGUGUCUGUCCAUCCACAUAUGUGCCUGUGUGGUUUCACGAGAGAAGGACAUGGAACAGGGAGAUUCAGCAAUGAGGCCACUAAGGCACAUGAGCCAUAUGUAGACAAGAGUUGGGCGACUGAGUACAUCAGAGGGUGCCAGUAGGAGAACCAAGUCACUCUUGAGGAAUGAAAGGGACAGCGUUAAUUACCCCAGGGCAACAGAUGUAAAUGGCCUAUCCCAGGCAAUCUGGAACACAAAGGUAACCUACUUUUAAUUAGCUGAAGUGCAUUGCAGUGAGUCUACCGCAAGCUCUAGAGGGCUGAGCAAGAACCCUGUGUGUGGAUUGCUGGACAUGAGUGGGUGGCCAGGGAGGACCUCACUGAGUGCUUGCAGGAGGGGAGAGGCAGCCACAUGGGCAUCUGGGAGAAGAGCAGAAGGACAGCCAGCACGUGCCCUAAGGCAGGAUUGUGCAGGCGUGCCCAGGAACAACGAGGAGGCCAUUGCCACUGGAGCAGAGUAGUCAGGGCAGGCAGGCAGCUGAGUGCAUAAGGUGCAGAGCCUUGUAAGCCAUUGGAAGAUGUUGGCUUUAUUCUGAGCACAAUAGGGAGCUAUUGCAGGCUUUUGAAGAGAGGAGAGAGAGACCAUCUCACAUCUGAGGGUCGCUUUAUUGAAAUAAUACUGUAGAAAAUCAAAGUUGGAAACAUGGAGGACAGUUAGGGUGCUAGUCCAGUAAUUCAGGCCAGCAGUCAAGGGCCUCGGAUCUGGGAGGCUGCACUGGGCAUGGUGAGCAGUUGUCAGAUUCUGGAUCUAUUUGGAGAUAGAGCCUGGAGAUUUCCUGAUGGGUUGAUGGACCUUGAAUUAGCAGAGACAGGAGUCGAGGCUGACUCCUGGGCUUUUCUCUUAGCCUUGAGAUAGAGAAAGCUCCCUGGUGGAGCAGGUUUGGGAGAUCAGUGAUCCAGGCAGAUGUCCAGGCAGGGGUGCUGAGCAGGCACUUGGGUGAAGGAGUCUAGGGUUUAGGAGAGAGUUCAGGGUGGAGAUUCAGAUGCCAGAGUCAUUAGCAUAUAAUUGGGACUUCUUCAAGAAUGGGUGGCCUCCAACCCAGAUGGACCCAAACAAGAAAUGUUCUGUUUUGGGGGGCUGGCGUUGUGGCUCAAGCGGUAGUGCGCUGGCUUGGCAUGCGAGCGGCCCCGGUUCGAUCCUCAGCACCACAUACAAACAAAAGAUGUUGUGUCUGCCGAAAACUAAAAAAAAUAUAUAUAAAAAAAGAAAUGUUCUGUUUUUCCUUCUGUUUUCAUUUUUAUGACUUAAGGUAAAAUGGAAGUGACAACAAGAAUACUAUAUAAAGCUAGUGUGUCUGCAGUGCCCUUUGAAGGAUUUGUUUUGCUUUUGUUACACAAUGCCGUUUCCUUCACCUCCAUAAGGGAAAAAAAUUGUAAACUACUAAGUUGCGUAACAGGAUGCCUUUGAGAAAUCAUUUUUAUUAAGUGAACAAUGACAACUUCCCCUUCUUCCUACCUUUUACAUUUUUAACACAAGUUCUGCUUUUCAUGAGCCAGUUGACUUGGAAUGAAAGGUCUACUUGGACCAGCAGUGAGCCUAGGCAUAACUUGUCCCUAGGUGGCGCCCCAGCUUUGUGCUACCAGGGUCCCCUUCUCAACAGCAGAUCAAUGCAGCAGCUCUCGGGAAACAUCCUUC